This is an RNA transcript of Eriocheir sinensis (Chinese mitten crab), 2941 nucleotides long. RefSeq lists it as uncharacterized. The record is from RefSeq and is a predicted model, not a curated record. The transcript is spliced from 12 exons. NCBI's taxonomy places the organism in Eukaryota, Metazoa, Arthropoda, Malacostraca, Decapoda, Varunidae.
GUCAGCUGAUCCGAGGUGGACGGCGUUCCGCGUGUCGGCCAAUUUCCUUGUAAUCCAGGAUGACACAGACGGCCAUGGAUGGAAGCAAGAUGCUGGACUUUGUGGACCCUGGCGGCCAUGAGGAGGUGUCCAUGGGCGCUGGGCAAGGCCGAGGGCGAGGAGUACAGCACACUGGAUGAGGGGGACCAUGGAUGGUGCAGGGCUCUCAGGAGAUGGACAAGCAGAAACAGGGGACCAGAACUCACAGGUGUUCUUCAUUGAGUGUGUGAGUGCUGCUGUCGUCUCCAUGAACACCUGCUCGGAGGCACCAAGACCCGUCAAGCCAGUAGUCCGCCCUGCAAGACUGCCUGGUCAAGAUGGGGUCCAGCCUUGCACAGAACUGCUUGGCUGGCUGGCUGGCUGGCCAGUGCCACAAGUUGGUGGUGACAAAGUAAUGCCCUCCAUGACUGCUUCAGCCUGAUGGAUGGAUCUCAUGGUAGGGUAUGAUGGGCUGAGAGAGAAGGAUGAUGAUGUAGCAAGGUGUGUGGUGACCCAGGCUGUGGAGGGUGGCUGCCACACUCACUGCUCCAGCCACUCACAGCUGUACCUCAGGAGCCAGACACCAUCUGCUUCACUCCUGCCCAGACUUUGCCACUCACACCCAACAGCUGCUUCAUCUUAAGGAUCAGCGAUGUGGAGCAUGCUGUACCACCACCACCACCUCCACCACCACCAGGGGAGCCACUCACUGCCACAAGAAGGAGGGAAGCAGGCGCAGGAGGACUGGCCGCCUGCAUUGGACCCCCGCAUAACUGACCCGCAUGCAUCAUCUCCCGACAUCAUUGCAGCCUUUUUGGUCCCCUUGGACGUUUAGGGGCACCACGUGCAGAAGCAGCAGCCGUUGCUACAGCUGCCGCAGCACUCGUUGGCGUGGCAGAGGUGGUGGUCACUUUACUGGGGUCGGUCUAUGGGACAGAGGUAGGGUGCGUGGGGGAGGUGGUGAUGGUCCGGGGCGACAGUGUAGACAUAAGCCUACUCCUCAAGCCAAAUUAGCAGCGCUACUAAUGUUAGCGCAGUUAUGAUACGCGCGUAAAGUAGCUGUCCCAUAAGGGAUCUAUCGGCCUGCGGUGACGCAGUCCCAUAUGGGCCCUACCGGCCGGGACGGUUAAGUUGAGGGAGGGAAGUGACGGUGGAGGUUGUUUUGAAAUGUAUUGUUUGCUGCAUCAGCACUGGACCACGGAAGGGGAAGCUUGUUUUGAAAUGUAUUGUUUGCUGCAGCACUGGACCACGGAAGGGGAAGCUUGUUUUGAAAUGUAUUGUUUGCUGCAGCACUGGACCACGGAAGGGAAGGUUGUUUUGAAAUGUAUUGUUUGCUGCAGCACUGGACCACGGAAGGGAAGGUUGUUUUGAAAUGUAUUGUUUGCUGCAGCACUGGACCACGGAAGGGAAGCUUGUUUUGAAAUGUAUUGUUUGCUGCAGCACUGGACCACGGAAGGGAAGCUUGUUUUGAAAUGUAUUGUUUGCUGCAGCACUGGACCACGGAAGGGGAAGCUUGUUUUGAAAUGUAUUGUUUGCUGCUGCAGCACUGGACCACGGAAGGGGAAGCUUGUUUUGAAAUGUAUUGUUUGCUGCUGCAGCACUGGACCACGGAAGGGGAAGCUUGUUUUGAAAUGUAUUGUUUGCUGCAGCACUGGACCACGGAAGGGGAAGCUUGUUUUGAAAUGUAUUGUUUGCUGCAGCACUGGACCACGGAAGGGGAAGCUUGUUUUGAAAUGUAUUGUUUGCUGCAGCACUGGACCACGGAAGGGAAGCUUGUUUUGAAAUGUAUUGUUUGCUGCAGCACUGGACCACGGAAGGGAAGCUUGUUUUGAAAUGUAUUGUUUGCUGCAGCACUGGACCACGGAAGGGAAGCUUGUUUUGAAAUGUAUUGUUUGCUGCAGCACUGGACCACGGAAGGGAAGGUUGUUUUGAAAUGUAUUGUUUGCUGCAGCACUGGACCACGGAAGGGAAGCUUGUUUUGAAAUGUAUUGUUUGCUGCAGCACUGGACCACGGAAGGGGAAGCUUGUUUUGAAAUGUAUUGUUUGCUGCAGCACUGGACCACGGAAGGGGAAGCUUGUUUUGAAAUGUAUUGUUUGCUGCAGCACUGGACCACGGAAGGGGAAGCUUGUUCAGCGCUGGGAAUGUGUCUUCAAUGAAUCAAUUUGUUUACGCUUAAGUUUGCUCUCUCUCUCUCUCUCUCUCUCUCUCUCUCUCUCUCUCUCUCUCUCUCUCUCUCUCUCUCUCUCUCUCUCUCUCUCUCUCUCUCUCUCUCUCUCUCUCUCUCUCUCUCUCUCUCAAGCUUGACUCUGAAUAAGAAAAAAAGUAAACAAAUUGAAUUAAAUAAAAAAAAAUCCCUCUUGUGUCGCUUGUGCUUCCCAACAAACAAACAAACAAACAAAAAAUACAUAAAUAAAAUAAAUAAAAAUAAAUCCAUAAAGGUGUUCAUCUGAUUUUUCUUCUUUCAAUAUAAUUUUUUCUCCUUUUUUAUUUGCUUUUUUUUUUCUUUUCAUGAAUUUAUUACUAUCUCAAUUGUUUACACAGGCAGAAGAAGAAGAAGAAGAAGAAGAAAACACACAGAGAGAGAAGAGGAGGAAGAAGAAGAGGAAGGACUUGUAAUAUGGCAGACAUCAAACCAAUGGAUGUGUGAAGAAGAAAAAGAAGAGGAAGAAGAAGAAGAAGAAGAAGACUCUGCUCACAAGUAAGAAAUUCUGUGUCCCCGCUGUACCUCAUUGGAGAAGAAUCGAGCGGUUGAGUGGACUCCAUCUCUUGAGGGGCGGCUUCGUAUCCCAGCGUGAUCUCCUGCAAGGCAUCCCAGCACACACCACAUGCUCUGGAGGGGGAGAGAAAGUCAAGAUGAAUUGGCCUUGUCUUGGAGGAAAUGUACUCUGUUUUGAUUUUGCUCUCAAUAAACAUAGACCCUAA